Molecule: ribosomal RNA, 468 nt
Filed under: uncultured bacterium
Lineage: Bacteria
Description: partial 16S ribosomal RNA
Rfam family: Bacterial small subunit ribosomal RNA
Source: RNAcentral
GAUGAACGCUGGCGGCGUGCUUAACACAUGCAAGUCGAACGGAAAGGCCCUGCUUUCGUGGGGUUCUCGAGUGGGGAACGGGUGAGUAACACGUGAGUAACCUGCUCUUGACUUUGGGAUAACUUCAGGAAAGUGGGGCUAAUACCGGAUAGCAGCUGCUGUUGCAUGGUGGGGGUUGGAAAGUUUCGGCGGUCGGGGAUGGAUGGGCGGCUUAUCAGCUUGUUGGUGGGGGAGUGGCUUACCAAGGCAUUGACGGAUAGCCGGCCUGGGAGGGUGACCGGGCACAUUGCGACUAAGGGACGGCGCAGUGUGCUACGGGGGGCAGCGGUGGGGAGUAUUGCCCAAUGGGCGGGAGCGUGAUAAGGCAGCGUCGCGUGCGGAAUGACGGCCUUCGGGUUAUGAACCGCUGUAGGCUGUGACCAAGCGUGUGUGACGGUAAUGAGUGAAGAAGCACCGGCUAACUACGUG